AAAAAAGUCCCGCCGUGUCUCAAAAACAAUAAAUGGUUAUUGCUUAAAAUUUUCUAAAAAACUAUUUAUGAUUAUUGCAUAAAACUUCCACACAAGACGUCAGGCGUAUCAUGCGCUCAUGGCGCAGCUGUUUAUUAAAAUUUAAAGUUCAACAAUGUACAUAUUUGUCUAUGCAGACUGUGACAAAUUCAUGACAAAUCAAAC
This 204-nucleotide long non-coding RNA is filed under the name Mytilus galloprovincialis (Mediterranean mussel). The record is from RNAcentral. Lineage: Eukaryota; Metazoa; Mollusca; Bivalvia; Mytilida; Mytilidae.